CUGAUGGCCGACGUCCCAGAUGAUGCGGUCGUCCGGGGUGUUGAAGACGUAGUGAAGCGCGGUGGUCAGUUCGACCACGCCGAGGCCGGCGCCGAAAUGGCCGCCCGUCACCGACACCGUGUCGAUGGNNNNNNCAGCCGCAGUUCAUCGGCAAACUGGCGGAGCUGCUCGGGCUUGAGCUUGCGCAGCAGGUCCGGAGUCGGCGCAGCGUCGAGGAGGGGAGUCUUGCUCGAAUUUGACACUUGAAUUUAUCCGCAAUGAUUUGGGCCGCCCGGCCCGGCAUGGAAAGAUGCCCAGAAAGGUCCGAAACGGUCCCGUGGCUUAUACCAAUUCCAAAGUCAUGCCAAUCCGCCGG
RNAcentral lists this unclassified non-coding RNA (355 nucleotides) under Hevea brasiliensis (rubber tree). The record is from RNAcentral. Lineage: Eukaryota; Viridiplantae; Streptophyta; Magnoliopsida; Malpighiales; Euphorbiaceae.